AUGCUGGAUUUGGUUGACUUUGCUCAUAGAGGCAGUACGUGUGUCCCACGUGGGAACAAGCAGCCCUGCAUGUCGCUGUGUCCCAGGCUUCUGUGGAUUUGCUCUGGCCCUAGAUGUGGAGAGGAGAGCAGAGAAAAAUUCAUCACAGACCAGAGGCUGGGAACGACUACCAGAGACUCCAUUUCCCAAAAAAUGAGGCCUGGUAUCCGGCCCACCCCCAGUUUUUCCCACCUGCCAGGCGUUGGCAGGUCAGCAACUGAAGUCUGCCGAUCUGCACCCUCCCAGCAGCCUGGUGCUAAGAGAACGGGCGUCCCAAGAGCACCCACAGCUGCAGGAGGGUCCCAGGUGCUGCGGCCACCGCUCAGGGCAGCCCUUCUGAUGCAGACGCUAAAAGAAGCACCCUGGUCAUUUGCCUUUCUCUUAUGUGCGUGGUUUUUUGUUUUGUGUUUUUUUUAAUUUUUUUUUUUUUUUUACGUUUAUUUAUUUUUGAGACAGAGCAUGAACAGGGGCGGGGCAGAGAGAGAGAGGGAGACACAGAAUCUGAAACAGGCUCCAGGCUCUGAGCUGUCAGCACAGAGCCUGACGCGGGGCUCGAACUCACAGACUGCGAGAUCAUGACCUGAGCCAAAGUCAGACGCUUAACCAACCAAGCCACCCAGGCGCCCCUAUGUGCGUGUUUUUAAGGGGAAAAAAAAAAUCAGAGAUUCUUUUAAAUUUAUGACAGUGUUAUAUUUUAACCAUUCCGCUAUGGGAGAAGUAAAUGACUCUUGGAGAAAAAAUUUUUAAAAUAGGUGAAACCUAACAUACCCACCCCACAGAGACCACUGUUAGUUCCUUAUACGUGUCCUUUCAGAUUCUGCAUAUUAAACAUGCAUAUGUGUGUAUACACAUAUAGGUACAAGUUUGCAUAGGUGCAUAGGUGUGUGUUUGCAAGGUGUGAUCAUAUUACACAUGCCAUCCUAUGAUCUUCUUUGUGCAGUCACUAGCUCUCCCUUCUUAUUCCAGAUAUUUCCGUCUUACCUGCCACCUAGACCAUAUCCAGAUUUUCCCAGUAGACCCAAAAUGUCCUGUAGAUCCGGUUUUUCCGAUUGGAGAUAUGCAGUCUGGGACCACACGUUGCAUCUGAAGGUUGGGUCCCUUACGUUUUUUGAUCUAGUACCUCCCUUUUCUGUGACAUUGACUCAUGAAAAGACAUCAGCCACUUUUCCAUUCAUCUAGUCACUCUCUCGUGCCAUCGAGCUCGUUCCUCUCUUCCCUGCAUUUCUAUAAACUAGAAGUGAUGUCUGAAGGCUUAAUGGAUUCCAGUUAACCCAAGGUGACAUGUGACAUCUGGUUGGCAUCAUUGCCAAUUCUGAGAUUGACCAUGGACCAUGCCUGGUCCCCCCAGUACUGUGAGGCUUGCACCUUGUGAUAAGCCCAGGAUCCAAAUGCCAUCACUUUGGUGCUAUAGGAGCAG
This 1456-nucleotide long non-coding RNA is filed under the name Felis catus (domestic cat). Its description in RNAcentral is "lncRNA (ENSFCAG00000048036.1)". The record is from RNAcentral. Lineage: Eukaryota; Metazoa; Chordata; Mammalia; Carnivora; Felidae.